CCAGCGUUUUCUGGCUGCCCUUGAUGUCCGACUGCAACACGAGACAGACCCAGUCCAUGAGCGACAACAAAAUCCCUUCUACCAACACAUUCAUCACGCUUCAUUACCCCUGAGAAUAUACCGUUAUAUGCAGCCAUCAAAGGCAACCAAAUCAAUGUACCCUUCCUGCAGUGACCAGAGAACUUGAAGCAGAGAAAACUUGCAUCUCCAUGACUCACCCAGAGUGGAUCAAUAGCAAUUUUUUUUCAAACCCAUGCCUUAGACACCUCCUUCUGACAAUCUGAGAAGAAUGAAGCCAGGACCCAUGACAGGGAACAGCUACUGUUACUCUGUCACCGAAUUGGUAUACUUUAUCAUGAAGUAUAUAAUACCUAGCACUUUGGUAGCCACAAAAUAACCCUGGGAUUUCACAUUCUUACUAGCACAACAAGAAAAUAAAUAGUUAAAUAGUUUGUUUUAAAACUGGUAAGGUAUUUUUUUCUGUGUGGCUGAGCAAUACUUCACAGUUAAAUGAAGUAAUACUCAUCACAAAGUU
Pomacea canaliculata is the source of this 535-nucleotide long non-coding RNA. RefSeq lists it as uncharacterized. The record is from RefSeq and is a predicted model, not a curated record. NCBI's taxonomy places the organism in Eukaryota, Metazoa, Mollusca, Gastropoda, Architaenioglossa, Ampullariidae. The transcript has 2 exons.